Molecule: long non-coding RNA, 1409 nt
Organism: Acanthaster planci (crown-of-thorns starfish)
Lineage: Eukaryota; Metazoa; Echinodermata; Asteroidea; Valvatida; Acanthasteridae
Source: RefSeq, a predicted model, not a curated record
GCGAACUGUUGAACGUAAACUCUCGUAUCCUAAUGGCAGCUGUUAAAUCUAUGAUCUACAGUUUUUGAUUUUACAUUGAAGUCGAAGGUCGCCUCAGUGAUCUCCUCAGAGAAGAAUCUAGGAAGAGUCAGCAGGACCUGACGACUGGCGAUGCACUGUGAAAUCGAAAACACCCGGGCUCGACUUGUGACCCCAGACCCUUAGGUCAUAUCUAUUCACAUCAUAUCCGUGGACGAUACCUACCGAUACCACUGAUCUCUACUACCAGUGAUACCUACAGUACCUGACCAAAGAUUUUUUAUCAAGAGUAGUCAGGGAAUCUUUGGGCAGGGAACCAGACUAGUAACCACCUGUCUUUCUUUCGCCGAUUGGAGGUGCAGUUCAGCUCGGGACAGAUUGCCUCGCGGCCUCAGCGAUUUAUAAAAACAACACAAAGUUUGCACCAGACAAGGCGAUGAUCAGUAGUACAGGGGUCGCUAUAACGUCAACCAAGCACUGUUGUUCAUCAAUCAAUACCGCUGAUGUAAAUUGAACUGGAAUGAUCCUUUGCAUCACGAGGCACAAUCACGGGGCAAGAACUUCACAGACGACUCUUCCCACGUCAAGUGCAAUCGUACAGGCGACCUCGAGCUAAAAAGGCCGCUCUGUAAUCGUCGCAUGUCUCUACUUGGUUUUGUUAUGAUUGCCAGUAUCAGAUAUCCAUAACUGAAACCAAUUCACCUUAGAGAUGCUGGUUUCUUUCUUUCCUUUUUUUUUUACAGACAAAGCAGACAUUUUCUGCUGGGUCACAAUUCAGUCACUGUGUCAGCUUACUUCAUUUUUUAGACUCAAUUCCAGACUCUGCAAGUGGUUGACAUGUUGGUCCUGUUUUCGUGGCAGAAAACAGCUGUCGGUAAACCGCCGAGGUACGGACUGCUCUCGUGCAUAUUUUAUAGCUGCAGGGUUGUAGACGGGAAUUAACCGACGCGGGCGAAUAUAAUGCUCAUAUGGCCGCCAUUAAUUAAGUCUAUAAAAAGUCACUAGAACAGCUGCAUCCGCAAAUGUUUAGUUACGACUUGGGAUCGUGGGCUUUCAUAUCCUAAUUUCAUUUUCUGGUUUGACGAAUUAAAGCGUUCAAGUUUAAUGUGUCGGUAUUUUACCAAGUGGUAACGAUGAAAACAAUGGCAGCUAUUUUUCAAUGUAAGUUAAACUAUCGACAGCCAACAAUUUUGAGAUUUCUUCCUCAAGGGGGAUUUACUUGACCUGUAUUUAGAAACAUAAGUGGUGAGAACAGCGUGCACUAUAUUGCAAUUUUUUUCACCAACUUUCUUCGUGUUUUCUCGGAGCCUCUGUACAUAGCUGGAAGCAGUUCCACGGACAGGCCUUUAGCCGCUGCUUUGAACGAGAUACCAAUUACUUCCUUAAACAGU